GAUAUAAGUAUAAUUUUCAUUCAUUUAAGUAACUUCUGCUACAUUCAAUGAGCUAUAAUCCAGUGUAGACUUUUUUCUUCCUUCAAUCUGUUCCACAAGGAAUUCUUCAGCUUCUUAUAAGGGAUGAACUCCAGCAAAAUAGGAACUGCAUGAACAACCACAGUCAUUUGCCACAGGGACCAGCAAAGACUAAGAGCAUGAGAAAAAAGGAGCAACUUCUACAUAGCUGUGAAAAAGUACCUGGGCUGCCAGAAAAGGGAAUUGCUCUGUUAUUGGACACAGAUUGCUGUCACAUGUGCAGGAGGUUCAAGGAAGCUGGGUUGAAUGAGGCAGGAGCAUUCUUCAGAGUCAGAGAAGACCCUUGUUCUGCACUGAGAUCAAAUGUUUAACAUCCUGUCUGCUACUAUCUGUAGCCUACCCUCAGCUUUGUUUCUCUCACCCAAAGAUCCAGGGAGAAGUCAGUAAUUGUGUAAGGCUGGAGAUGCCAUGUGGUAUGCAAGGGAGUGGGAAAAAAAGCAAACCUUUGGCUUACAGGCCACAGAGUUGACAUAGACUGAGGUUGUGGACCAGCCACAAUUGUCUUGGGACUGCUGUUCUCUUCUGCUGGCACGUCAUCUGCCUGCAACAAUAUGCUGACUGAGCUUGCUUGUCUGUUGUAGCACUUAUCCUACCACUCCUUUACCCUGUAGAGAAUUUCUGUAUUUCAGUUGUAGAUCAUAGCAGCUGGUCUUUUUCUGUUCCUCUUAAGGCAGGAACAGAAGCAAGAGAUUUUCUUGUGAGCACAGAUACCAUCCUAGGAUGGGGGAAUGGGCUCCUCAGAUUUCUUUUUGCUUUUACCAACCUGUGAAUCUUUCUUUCAUAUUCGUGAAGUCCAUGUCAGCACUUCAAGCUUUGGUUGUGGUAUGAUAGCACAGAAGAGUGUCACACAGACAGCCCGCCUCUCUGCAGAAUCUGACUACACAAUGCGUGUUGCAGUGCUGUGGGUAGUACCCCACAUAUCCUAGUAGCCUGCAGAAGGUAGAAGUAAUAUGUAUUCCUAGAAAAGAGAGUAAGGAGAAGUUAGAGAUGAACGUGUUUUAUUCAGUGAACUCUCUGCAAACACAGACUUCAGAAGAAGCUUCCUUUGAGAAGGGUUCCAAAGUGCUUGUGGAACUGGCAUGUGCAGAUAGCAACCAAGAUGCCUAUGGGUAAAAAUGUGUAUCAAAAUAAAAAUAAAAAGAACAGCUUAGAAUUAAACUUUGGCUUCUCUUUCUGUGCUUACUCAGGAAACGAUAUAGACUAGCAGCAAAAUGUUCUCAGCAUCAGCAAAAACUCUAGUGCUGUCCAAAAGAUCUGACAUGCGUUAAACUUCUGCAGAUGCAAACUGAAGUCAUGUCAGAUGUGAUCACUGAAGGAACUGUGUGCCCUGAAAUUUCACAAGAAGACAUUCCCCGCAGCUCUCUGAAUGCCCAUUGGGACACAAGGUUCUACUUACAGUCUAAAAUAUGGGGAGGAGGAGUCGUAAGCAUUCUUCUUUCAAAAAUGUUGCUUAUUCCAACACUUGAGACUGAAUUUGCAUUAAAGGCAUACUUGGAAGAGGAGCAAAAGGUGGCUGCAGUGUUGUUGAUAGAUGUUGGAAUAGAUAAAUCACGGCCCUUUCUGCAAUAAGUACCUGUUCUUCUGAGAGAUUCAUAAACAAGAAGGUAGCUUGAUCAAAAAAAAUAUUUUAAAAUAAAUAGACAGAGUUC
Molecule: long non-coding RNA, 1727 nt
Organism: Pseudopipra pipra
Lineage: Eukaryota; Metazoa; Chordata; Aves; Passeriformes; Pipridae
Exons: 3
Source: RefSeq, a predicted model, not a curated record